AUUGAACGCUGGCGGCAGGCCUAACACAUGCAAGUCGAACGAGUGGCGGACGGGUGAGUAAUGUCUGGGAAACUGCCUGAUGGAGGGGGAUAACUACUGGAAACGGUAGCUAAUACCGCAUACCAUCGGAUGUGCCCAGAUGGGAUUGGCUAGUAGGUGGGGUAAAGGCUCACCUAGGCGACGAUCCCUAGCUGGUCUGAGAGGCUGACCGGCCCCACUGGAACUGAGACACGGGCCAGACUCCUACGGAAGGCAGCGGUGGGGAAUAUUGGACAAUGGGCGCAGGCCUGAUGCAGCCAUGCCGCGUGUAUGAGUAAGGCCUUCGGGUUGUAAAGUACUUUCAUCGGGGAGGCGUUACCCGCAGAAGAAGCACCGGCUAACUCCGUGCCAGCAGCCGCGGUAAUUC
RNAcentral lists this ribosomal RNA (406 nucleotides) under uncultured bacterium. RNAcentral's name for it is "partial 16S ribosomal RNA". It matches the Rfam family "Bacterial small subunit ribosomal RNA", at positions 30 to 526 of the family's 1533-position model. The record is from RNAcentral.